GACGAACGCUGGCGGCGUGCCUAAUACAUGCAAGUAGAACGCUGAAGCUUGGUGCUUGCACCGAGCGGAUGAGUUGCGAACGGGUGAGUAACGCGUAGGUAACCUGCCUGGUAGCGGGGGAUAACUAUUGGAAACGAUAGCUAAUACCGCAUAAGAGUAGAUGUUGCAUGACAUUUGCUUAAAAGGUGCAAUUGCAUCACUACCAGAUGGACCUGCGUUGUAUUAGCUAGUUGGUGAGGUAACGGCUCACCAAGGCAACGAUACAUAGCCGACCUGAGAGGGUGAUCGGCCACACUGGGACUGAGACACGGCCCAGACGCCUACGGGAGGCAGCAGUAGGGAAUCUUCGGCAAUGGACGGAAGUCUGACCGAGCAACGCCGCGUGAGUGAAGAAGGUUUUCGGAUCGUAAAGCUCUGUUGUAAGAGAAGAACGAGUGUGAGAGUGGAAAGUUCACACUGUGACGGUAUCUUACCAGAAAGGGACGGCUAACUACGUG
Molecule: ribosomal RNA, 497 nt
Filed under: uncultured bacterium
Lineage: Bacteria
Description: partial 16S ribosomal RNA
Rfam family: Bacterial small subunit ribosomal RNA
Source: RNAcentral